UACAGAGGGUGCGAGCGUUGUUCGGAAUUAUUGGGCGUAAAGGGCGCGUAGGCGGUAUUGUAAGUCACCUGUGAAAUCUCCGGGCUCAACUCGGAGCCUGCAGGCGAAACUGCCGUGCUUGAGUGUGGGAGAGGUGCGUGGAAUUCCCGGCGUAGCGGUGAAAUGCGUAGAUAUCGGGAGGAACACCGGUGGCGAAAGCGGCGCACUGGACCACAUCUGACGCUGAGGCGCGAAAGCUAGGGGAGCAAACAGG
RNAcentral lists this ribosomal RNA (253 nucleotides) under uncultured bacterium. RNAcentral describes it as "partial 16S ribosomal RNA". It matches the Rfam family "Bacterial small subunit ribosomal RNA", at positions 524 to 776 of the family's 1533-position model. The record is from RNAcentral.